AUGCAGGGGCACGCCAGAAGAGGCUCGGUCGUCACCGGCGACUUGGAGAGGAUUGAGCGCUGGGGCUCCUCCCCUGGUUCAAUAUGGAAGAGAGGAGAGGGAGACGAUGGGAGGAAAGAGCGAGGGGAUCAGGCUCCUAUCUCUGCGAGCGCGGCGCCGCAGCUCCGAGAACGUGGCGGGGCGGCAGAGCCGCAGAGGAAGCCGCGAUCCACCAAAUCCUGGUAG
This 225-nucleotide ribosomal RNA is filed under the name Triticum aestivum (bread wheat). RNAcentral's name for it is "partial small subunit ribosomal RNA". Lineage: Eukaryota; Viridiplantae; Streptophyta; Magnoliopsida; Poales; Poaceae. The record is from RNAcentral.